CAGCAGCCGCGGUAAUACGAAGGGUGCAAGCGUUAAUCGGAAUUACUGGGCGUAAAGCGUGCGUAGGCGGUGAGUUAAGUCUGCUGUGAAAUCCCCGGGCUCAACCUGGGAAUGGCAGUGGAUACUGGCUCGCUAGAGUGUGUCAGAGGAUGGUGGAAUUCCCGGUGUAGCGGUGAAAUGCGUAGAUAUUGGGAAGAACACCGGUGGCGAAGGCGGCGACCUGGUCCUUGACUGACGCUGAGGCGCGAAAGCGUGGGGAGCAAACAGGAUUAGAUACCCCAGUAGUCCCUGUCUCUUAUAC
This 301-nucleotide ribosomal RNA is filed under the name uncultured bacterium. Its description in RNAcentral is "partial 16S ribosomal RNA". It matches the Rfam family "Bacterial small subunit ribosomal RNA", at positions 509 to 807 of the family's 1533-position model. The record is from RNAcentral.